CUUGUAUCUGUAACCUGCCCAACGACAUUCCGAAACCGCUAGAGGGAGUUACGACAUCUUUUUAGUCAUAUCCACUGGUGGUACUUAAGAAGAUAUGAAGUAUUAGGGUCACGGAGGGUCUGGAGCCUAUCCUGGAGGCUCAACAUACAAACUCAUGGAGCCAUGGCGGGGACUCGAACCCAGGUCCCAGAGGGUGUGAGUCAGCAAUGCUCCGAAACUCCUGGUCCCAGUUGGGCCUGCCGAAGAAGGUCUUCUCCCUGAAGCCAGUGACCACAUCCCUCUGGGAGUCACGGUGCAGGGUGAUGUGGCGUGCCUGGUGGAGGGGCAAGGCAAACGUUAAAACUCCCGUCAGAUCCAGGCCGGCAGCCGGUUCCAGGAGCUGAGGCACCUCUCCUCGGCCUACCUGAGCGUCGUCCCAGCUGGUGAGGUAGAUGUGGAAGCUGACGAGACGCCCCAUACCCAUGGUGUCACCCUCCAGGGAGAGCAGGAGGUCCCGAAACCACUCGAAAGCGGUGGUGUCACGACAGAUCCAGAAGAAGUAGAGCUUGGUGGAUUUAAAGGCACAGCACAAGAAUACGAUCACCGAUCUCCGAUCACCAAGAUCUGUUCUUCACAAAUAUUUACUAUCAAAAUUUUGUGUCUAGCACAAUGCACAAACCCACACUGCGUAUCAUUUUUUUAAUUUGACAUCUCAUCCAAGCUUUAAAGUUCUGUCAUCCAGUUUGACUCGGAUUUGGAGGACUUAUUUCUCGUUACCUUCUGGAGUUUCAUGGCUUUCCCGGGAUUUGAAGACUUGUACCGGAGUGAUUUCAGGACAGAGGCGAACGGGGUCACUCCGAUACCCGCCGCGAUGCACACGCUGACCUCAUACCGAAAUACGUCACGGCUGGCCGAGCCAAACGGGCCGUCCACCGCCAAGCUGGGGGAGAGACAGCACUCAGAAAAGAUGAAACUGAUUGGCAGAUGACCCAAGCCCCGCCUCCAGGGACAGUAUUGCGGUUUAUUGGGCGUAAAAGCCCCUUGUUAGAGGUGGUGGAAACACUACACGGGAACUUGCCGUAGCAGAGGGAUCCGCGAGUCCCCCUGGUGGCCGGUGCAGGCGGCAUACAGGGCAGCCGUCCAGUCUCCCGCCACGCGCACGUGCACGCUGAAGUGAUCCUCCUCAGGUGCAGACGUCAGGGUGAAGGGGUGCCACUCCAGAGGGGCGAUGGCGGAACACUGCAGGUACACGUACUGGCCUGGCUCCAUGCGAAAGCCCACCUUCGUCAUCUGCAGCUCCACCACGUUUGAUGGCACCUUUAAAGAAUACAAGAGGCAAAAUAACUUUCCAGCCGAACUGUGAGAUUGGAUUUUCUGACCAUCGAGACGACACAUACCACAGAAAGCGGUGUGACGGGAAGGCCAUUCUCGACCCGGCGCUGAACUGCUCAAAAGUUAGGAAACACCACAUGCAAUCCUGACCAAGCAGUUGGAUCCUUUCUGUGCUCCAGACGUGACUGUAGAGCGAAGCCAGGGCUGUGGAAAAUAUCAAGCCAGUCGUUCAUGAAUAAUAGAUAAACAUAAAAAAGAUCAACGCAACCUCUUAUUUUCAAAGAAGCUUGGGUCAAACGCUUUCUAAGGAUAAGGCUUAGCUGAUACCAGCCGGUGCCCCCCCCCCCCAACUCCCGGUUUGCCGAUUGCACUGAAAACAGACAAAUAUGCAGAAACCAAGCGGAAACGAGAUAAAAGUAACAGUCAAAAUGUAUCAAUUAUUUAAACCCUUUAAAAUUAAUUAGGAUGUAGAUUGAAACAGCAGUUCUGCUUUUCUCUUUCUGAUCAGUGUUUUUCAUUAUUAUUUGCUUUAAUUUUGCCCCAAAAUAAAGCUGCAUAAAUGAAUUCAGCAGACUACUUUCAGCAUUCCUCCCCUCCAGAAUUAAUUUAAACGCCGGUAUACAUCAAUGUGAUCUUCCGAACAACAAAAACAGAAGUAGAAAAUCUGCUUAUGUAAAUGUGAAAAUAUUUACAUUCUUACUGAAAUGUGAGAGAGACCUUCCGGCAUUUAGUGAAGCGGAGGGACUGAGCUUGGUGCCCCGGGGGUGUCACCGUCGCUCCGUCACAUGACCUCUGACAUCAUGGCUUUCUGUACUAGGGCGCCUCCAGCCGGUUUCACGUGUCAGUUUUGCCGCAGAGCUGCCCACCUGCAGCACUGUGGGGUCUCUAGUGACCCCGGUAGCUAGGACUCUAGGGACUCGCAGUGAACCUCACUGAUCUCUUUAAGUCUGUGCACCCUGUGCCAGCUUUCCAAGGGCAAGGAGGAUGGUUAAACUCAAUCUGAAAUGCCAGCAUCUUAACAAGAACUUAUGAAAGAUUGAGGGAGGCGCUGACCAGGAAGCACGCCCUCAGCUGCUCCGAGCGCGGCUAUGCACAGCGACGCUGUUUGCAGAUACGACCGUACUGGGUCGAUUCCUAAAGCUGGGCCGGCGCAGAGGGCAUGCGCGGUGCGCUGCACAGAAUGAAAACCGUUUUAAUUGCUCCUGUGGUGAUAAUGGUCAGCAUCCAGGUGAAAUCUGCCACUGCAUUUUAUCAAUUCUGGCAGUUCCUAUCUUUUGAAAAAUGCAGUUAAAAAAAAGACUAGACAUAUAUUAACAUCAUUUAAUUCAAACAAAGGUACUAUUUAAAAAUGACAGGCUGAUUUUAGUGAACUACUAUUCACAUUCAGCAUAUUUACUUCUUUGCUUAGCUGACAGUUUCACCUGUGUAUACAGCUAGGUAUUUUACCAGAGGGAUUGAAGUAAAGUACCCUGCCUGGGGGAACAAGUUCUAAGGCUCAGACUGACAACCAGGUUACGGUUCCACCUCCUAGGCAACCUCUGUGCUGCCUGCUACCUGCCAUGCGACCCUGCAAGCUCAGCUCACUGCCACUUUGUCAUCGCUGACGGCUGACACAUCCUUAUCCCUUAAGGCUCAACACCUGGACCGGCGCUGGCCAUUAAAACGAAACGCUGCAUGGAUCUUGUGGCCUCGGACUUUCAGUCGUGCUUCUUGUGGAACGCCCCGCGAAAGAGUUUCCUCUGAAGAGGAGGUCAGGAUGACCAUUUUCUGCAUGUCUGUAAAACCCUCGCAUAUCGAAACCCAUGUGUCCGUAACCCUGCUACUGCAUUCCUCUGAGAUCCAGGCAGGAGACAUGUUCACGUCACUGCACAUGCUCAGUCUGUGCGGCGUGGGGGUGCUAUGCUUUAAUGUUUCAUUCUGCAGCUAUUUCCAUUGCAUCGUUGCCACAGUCCACAGUCCCGAGGCAUCAGAUCUAUCCCCCAAUUUGCAAAUGCCCCCUGGUGCACGGGAGAGGCUCUGGGCAACAUGCAGCCCCAUCCUCACCGGCUCUCCGGGCCCCCGAAAUAAAAAGGGUACAGAUCGAUCCGGCAUACUGAGACACGCCCACCGCUGCGAGCCCGCAUCCCUGCCAGCGAUGAGCCGGGUCUGGAAAGGCAGCGUUCGUGUUUUCAGCGACC
Brienomyrus brachyistius is the source of this 3488-nucleotide long non-coding RNA. RefSeq lists it as uncharacterized. NCBI's taxonomy places the organism in Eukaryota, Metazoa, Chordata, Actinopteri, Osteoglossiformes, Mormyridae. The transcript is spliced from 5 exons. The record is from RefSeq and is a predicted model, not a curated record.